AUUGAACGCUGGCGGCAUGCCUUACACAUGCAAGUCGAACGGCAGCACGGGAGCAAUCCUGGUGGCGAGUGGCGAACGGGUGAGUAAUACAUCGGAACGUGCCCAAUAGUGGGGGAGUAGCCCGGCCGGAAAGACCGGAUUAAUACCGCAUACGACCUACGGGUGGAAAGACGGGGNGUCGCAAGACCUCGCGCUACUGGAGCGGCCGAUGUCGGA
This 216-nucleotide ribosomal RNA is filed under the name uncultured bacterium. Its description in RNAcentral is "partial 16S ribosomal RNA". It matches the Rfam family "Bacterial small subunit ribosomal RNA", at positions 30 to 240 of the family's 1533-position model. The record is from RNAcentral.